RNAcentral lists this long non-coding RNA (321 nucleotides) under Musa acuminata (dwarf banana). RNAcentral describes it as "long non-coding RNA (MACU_LNC000643)". Lineage: Eukaryota; Viridiplantae; Streptophyta; Magnoliopsida; Zingiberales; Musaceae. The record is from RNAcentral.
UUUUCAUUUUCUCCCAUGUAACGAUCUUACUCUUCCCCUCACGUUCUCUUUGUUUCUUCAUAUUUUCCUACCAAAAAGAUGCAUUACGUUUGAGUUUAAGAGCUACAAGUUUGACUUUCUUUUGUUCUGGUGGUUCAUGAAAAUCGAAAAUUCUUUCUACUGUAUUAAGCCAAUCGAUAAAGUCAUCAAUAUUUAUUUUACCUUCAAAUUCUAUAAUAUCAAAUCUGGGGUUAUAUUUAUUUUGCCACUCGUCUUGGACUCCAUUUCUUCUCCGACAUCUUCUCGACUCCCUUGGAAGAGGAGGUGUAUCAUCAUUAGAAG